GUUGAAGUACUAAAAAGAUUAAACGACUUCUAUUUAGUUAUUAAAACUUAUUUUGCGGUACAUCAUUGCUGGUAUUUCGUGAGUAAAAAGCGGGAAAAAACUCCACUUCCGGCACUAGUAAUCCGCAUAGGUCAUGGAUAUGAAAAGUUGCUCGAAUGGGCUUGCAAAAACAUUUCAUGACAGUGUUUGUAAUUCAGAUAAGAACAGUGUUAUGUUCCAGAUUUAGUAUAUCGAUUCAAUCCCUCCCAAACAAGUAAAAUAAACGAUACGUAAUAUGGAUUCAAUGAUUCAGAAUCGAGUCAACGAAAAAUACUUGGGUGCAAUUUACAUUUCUCUGGCAAUAAAUUGUGUUCCCCCCAGUUUGAACCUCCCAACUAUGCGAGUAAUUCUGAGGACUUCUUCUGUACCCGCUGCUUCCUGUCCCUACUAAGGAGUUGAGCUGUAAUUUCGUCAAUGCGUGUCGUCAAUUUAUAAACUUAUAUAUUUAUGUAUUUAUUACAUUUAUUCA
Molecule: long non-coding RNA, 508 nt
Organism: Malaya genurostris
Lineage: Eukaryota; Metazoa; Arthropoda; Insecta; Diptera; Culicidae
Exons: 3
Source: RefSeq, a predicted model, not a curated record